Molecule: long non-coding RNA, 319 nt
Filed under: Lathyrus oleraceus (garden pea)
Lineage: Eukaryota; Viridiplantae; Streptophyta; Magnoliopsida; Fabales; Fabaceae
Description: Pisum sativum (pea) long non-coding RNA (PSAT_LNC035277)
Source: RNAcentral
UUUUUAUUAUGUCAUUUCCAUUUGUAUUUUCGAAUUUUGUAUUUUGACCAUGGGUUGUACUAUUGGGGUGUUUUGUCCCCCACGAACAAAUUUUUAUUUUUCAGUUAAUGUUAUUUAAUUAUGUUUUUAAUUUUGUGUGUUUAAUAAAUUUUUGGUUGAAUGAGUGGCAAACCCUUCUAGAUUGGUUGCUCCUCAAGAAGUACCCAAUGAAGGUGCAUCCGAGCUUGGAUGGCAAUGAUAAGAAUAACAAGUGAAUGAAGCUAAGGUACAUGGUUACCGUCGGCUAGAAUUUUAGAAUGCAUUAGGAACUUUACUCUUU